CGCGGCCUAUCAGCUUGUUGGUGGGGUAAUGGCCUACCAAGGCAUCGACGGGUAGCUGGUCUGAGAGGAUGAUCAGCCACACUGGGACUGAGACACGGCCCAGACUCCUACGGGAGGCAGCAGUGGGGAAUCUUGCACAAUGGGCGAAAGCCUGAUGCAGCAACGCCGCGUGCGGGAAGAAGGCCCUCGGGCUGUAAACCGCUUUCAGAAGGAACGAAACUGACGGUACUUUCAGAAGAAGGUGCGGCCAACUACGUGCCAGCAGCCGCGGUGACACGUAGGCACCAAGCGUUGUCCGGAUUUAUUGGGCGUAAAGAGCUCGUAGGCGGUUCAGUAAGUCGGUUGUGAAAACUUUGGGCUUAACCCAAAGCGCGCGUCCGAUACUGCUGUGACUUGAGUUCGGUAGGGGAGUGGGGAAUCCCUAGUGUAGCGGUGAAAUGCGCAGAUAUUAGGAGGAACACCGGUGGCGAAGGCGCCACUCUGGGCCGAAACUGACGCUGAGGAGCGAAAGCAUGGGUAGCAAACAGGAUUAGAUACCCUGGUAGUCCAUGCCGUAAACGUUGGGCACUAGGUGUGGGUUCCAACCAACGGAAUCCGCGCCGUCGCUAACGCAUUAAGUGCCCCGCCUGGGGAGUACGG
RNAcentral lists this ribosomal RNA (639 nucleotides) under uncultured Actinomycetes bacterium. Its description in RNAcentral is "bacterial SSU rRNA". It matches the Rfam family "Bacterial small subunit ribosomal RNA", at positions 232 to 885 of the family's 1533-position model. The record is from RNAcentral. Lineage: Bacteria; Bacillati; Actinomycetota; Actinomycetes.